GAACGCUGGCGGUGUGCCUAAUACAUGCAAGUCGAACGAAGUCUUCGGACUUAGUGGCGAACGGGUGAGUAACACGUUGGUACCUACCCUCUAGUGGGGAAUAACUGCCCGAAAGGGUGGCUAAUACCGCAUAAUACCGCAAGGUUAAAGCAGUAAUGCGCUAGAGGAGGGGCCUGCGUCUGAUUAGCUAGUUGGUGAGGUAAUAGCUCACCAAGGCUACGAUCAGUAGCUGGAUCGAGAGGUUGACCAGCCACACUGGGACUGAGAUACGGCCCAGACUCCUACGGGAGGCAGCAGUAAGGAAUCUUCCACAAUGGACGAAAGUCUGAUGGAGCAACACCGCGUGCAGGAUGACGGUCUUCGGAUUGUAAACUGCUUUUAUAUAGGAAGAUUAUGACGGUACUAUAUGAAUAAGGACCGGCUAACUACGUGCCAGCAGCCGCUGU
This 446-nucleotide ribosomal RNA is filed under the name uncultured bacterium. RNAcentral's name for it is "bacterial SSU rRNA". It matches the Rfam family "Bacterial small subunit ribosomal RNA", at positions 31 to 521 of the family's 1533-position model. The record is from RNAcentral.